Molecule: unclassified non-coding RNA, 515 nt
Filed under: Hevea brasiliensis (rubber tree)
Lineage: Eukaryota; Viridiplantae; Streptophyta; Magnoliopsida; Malpighiales; Euphorbiaceae
Source: RNAcentral
GUGCUCUACAACAUGAACCAGGAGAUCCAGACGGAGGACAUCGACCUCCCCCUCACCCGCAUCCGCCCCGUCAAGAAGGUCGCCCUCGUCGUCCUCACCGGCGAGCGCGGCCUCUGCGGCAGCUUCAACAACAACGUCCUCAAGAAGGCCGAGACCCGCAUCGAGGAGCUCAAGCAGCUCGGCCUCGAGUACACCGUCGUCAGCGUCGGCAAGAAGGGCAACGCCUACUUCAUCCGCCGCCCCUUCAUCCCCACCGAGCGGACGCUGGAGGUGAACGGCAUCCCCACCGUGAAGGACUCCCAGUCCAUCUGCGACCUCGUCUACUCGCUGUUCGUGUCCGAGGCGGUGGACAAGGUGGAGCUCCUCUACUCCAAGUUCGUCUCCCUCGUCCGCUCCGACCCCAUCAUCCAGACGCUGCUCCCCAUGUCGCCCAAGGGGGAGAUCUGCGACAUCAACGGCGUGUGCGUGGACGCCACCGAGGACGAGCUGUUCCGGCUCACCACCAAGGAAGGGAA